ACACAUGCAGUCGAGCGGCAGCGACAACAUUGAACCUUCGGGGGAUUUGUUGGGCGGCGAGCGGCGGACGGGUGAGUAAUGCCUGGGAAAUUGCCCUGAUGUGGGGGAUAACCAUUGGAAACGAUGGCUAAUACCGCAUGAUAGCUUCGGCUCAAAGAGGGGGACCUUCGGGCCUCUCGCGUCAGGAUAUGCCCAGGUGGGAUUAGCUAGUUGGUGAGGUAAGGGCUCACCAAGGCGACGAUCCCUAGCUGGUCUGAGAGGAUGAUCAGCCACACUGGAACUGAGACACGGUCCAGACUCCUACGGGAGGCAGCAGUGGGGAAUAUUGCACAAUGGGCGCAAGCCUGAUGCAGCCACGCCGCGUGUAUGAAGAAGGCCUUCGGGUUGUAAAGUACUUUCAGCAGUGAGGAAGGGAGUAUCGUUAAUAGCGGUAUUCUUUGACGUUAGCUGCAGAGGAAGCACCGGCUAACUCCGUGCCAGCAGCCGCGGUAAUACGGAGGGUGCGAGCGUUAAUCGGAAUUACUGGGCGUAAAGCGCAUGCAGGUGGUUUGUUAAGUCAGAUGUGAAAGCCCGGGGCUCAACCUCGGAAUUGCAUUUGAAACUGGCAGGCUAGAGUACUGUAGAGGGGGGUAGAAUUUCAGGUGUAGCGGUGAAAUGCGUAGAGAUCUGAAGGAAUACCGGUGGCGAAGGCGGCCCCCU
RNAcentral lists this ribosomal RNA (699 nucleotides) under uncultured bacterium. Its description in RNAcentral is "bacterial SSU rRNA". It matches the Rfam family "Bacterial small subunit ribosomal RNA", at positions 51 to 730 of the family's 1533-position model. The record is from RNAcentral.